RNAcentral lists this ribosomal RNA (420 nucleotides) under bacterium. Its description in RNAcentral is "partial 16S ribosomal RNA". It matches the Rfam family "Bacterial small subunit ribosomal RNA", at positions 355 to 776 of the family's 1533-position model. The record is from RNAcentral.
UGGGGGAUAUUGCACAAUGGGCGAAAGCCUGAUGCAGCGACGCCGCGUGGGGGAUGAAGGCUUUCGGGUUGUAAACCUCUUUCGCUAUCGAACAAGGCCCGCUUAGGGUGGGUUGAGGGUAGGUGGAGAAGAAGCGCCGGCUAACUACGUGCCAGCAGCCGCGGUAAUACGUAGGGCGCGAGCGUUGUCCGGAAUUAUUGGGCGUAAAGGGCUUGUAGGCGGCUUGUUGCGCCUGCUGUGAAAACGCGGGGCUUAACUUCGCGCGUGCAGUGGGUACGGGCAGGCUUGAGUGUGGUAGGGGUGACUGGAAUUCCAGGUGUAGCGCUGGAAUGCGCAGAUAUCUGGAGGAACACCGAUGGCGAAGGCAGGUCACUGGGCCAUUACUGACGCUGAGGAGCGAAAGCAUGGGUAGCGAACAGG